AUGGUUAAUAUAACAGAACCGCUCUGGUUAUAUUCGAGCACUCUACAUAACGAUGAAUAUGAAUGUGCCUACUUUAAUCUUACAAAAAAGCUCAAUUGCACGCCACACAGAUGCUAGUAUGAUUACGAUUAUCACUUCACCUGUGGCCAUAAGAAAAAGAAAAUGAAAGACAAUGCGACCCUCGAGGAGCAGUGCCCAAUGCACCCUAGUGUUCCCUGCUUGCUAAAACGACAAACGAGACCAAAAACAGAGAAGUUACUAAUGUAUUGGCACAGGACACACCAUUGUGGUGUUUUUAAAGCACUCGGGCUGUCAGAUAGACCAGAAUGUGAAUUACUCGCAUGGGACAGUACAAUGGAGGAAUUCAAGAAAAUACCAACUGCGCUGCUGUAUUGUGAUACCGAAUUUUACAAAUAUUGUAACGGAAGCCAGUAUACCCAAUAUGUAUACUACAGGGACGACUGCACAACUAAUGAAAGAUAUCUGGCUGCAUCAUAUGAAAGUCGAGCUAAAUAAAUUUCUGUUUCUGGAGU
Molecule: RNA transcript, 533 nt
Organism: Rhipicephalus microplus (southern cattle tick)
Lineage: Eukaryota; Metazoa; Arthropoda; Arachnida; Ixodida; Ixodidae
Source: RefSeq, a predicted model, not a curated record